CCAUCUUAAUUGCUAUAUUUACAGUAGAAAUUUGAUACUGGACUGAUUGCAAAUCUAUUGCUAAUGGAUUUUCUCUACAGACAUUUCAAUAAAGUUUGCUCCCAAGCAGUCUGAGGCCACAUGAACUAACAAUUUAGAAGGGAAGAUCAGGAAAAAACACAAAGUCAAGGUCCAUUCUCCAUCUCUAGCCUGAAGCUCUGAAGCAACCAGUUUCAGAAGACAACACUCCUUUGCUCCGGAGAAAAGGAGGCAUUUUAUGCAGGGGUUUGCCUGGCUCCUUGACCCCUUGGCAGGGUAUCAGAGCACAGCUUCAGACUCUAGUCUACAGACCCUGUAGAGAAGCCGUGGAUGGUGUUACUCAAAGAGCGUGUCCUACUCGCUGUGCACAGAGGUGGGAAAUGCAGAGGCUGGCUGUGGAGGAAGGCUCACCGCAAGCAGCACUUGUAGCAAUAACUUGAUUUGAGUGGAAAAGAUUCAAGAUCAUUCCCUGGGACUCC
Molecule: long non-coding RNA, 497 nt
Filed under: Dromaius novaehollandiae (emu)
Lineage: Eukaryota; Metazoa; Chordata; Aves; Casuariiformes; Dromaiidae
Description: lncRNA (ENSDNVG00000003032.1)
Source: RNAcentral